This 253-nucleotide ribosomal RNA is filed under the name uncultured bacterium. RNAcentral's name for it is "partial 16S ribosomal RNA". It matches the Rfam family "Bacterial small subunit ribosomal RNA", at positions 524 to 776 of the family's 1533-position model. The record is from RNAcentral.
UACGAAGAAGGCUAGCGUUGUUCGGAAUUAUUGGGUUUAAAGGGCACGUAGGCGGACUAUUAAGUUGGGGGUGAAAACCUUGGGCUCAACCUCGGAACCGCCUUUGAUACUGAUAGACUUGAGUGCGACAGAGGGUGUUGGAAUGUGUGGUGUAGCGGUGAAAUUCUUAGAUAUCACGCAGAACACCAAUUGCGAAGGCAGAUGCCUAUGUCGUUACUGACGCUCAGGUACGAAAGCGUGGGGAGCAAACAGG